AGAACGAACGCUGGCGGCAGGCCUAACACAUGCAAGUCGAACGCUCCAGCAAUGGAGAGUGGCAGACGGGUGAGUAACACGUGGGAACCUUCCCUAUGGUUCGGAAUAGCUCAGGGAAACUUGGGGUAAUACCGGAUAAGCCCUUCGGGGGAAAGAUUUAUCGCCAUUGGAUGGGCCCGCGUCGGAUUAGCUAGUUGGUGAGGUAACGGCUCACCAAGGCAACGAUCCGUAGCUGGUCUGAGAGGAUGAUCAGCCACACUGGGACUGAGACACGGCCCAGACUCCUACGGGAGGCAGCAGUGGGGAAUAGUUGGACAAGUGGGCGCAAGCCUGAUCCGGCCAUGCCGCGUGAGUGACGAAGGUCUUCGGAUUGUAAAACUCGUUUUGGCGGGACGAUAAUGACCGGUACCGACAGAAGUAAGCCCCGGCUAACUUCGUGCCAGCACGCCGC
RNAcentral lists this ribosomal RNA (451 nucleotides) under uncultured soil bacterium. Its description in RNAcentral is "bacterial SSU rRNA". It matches the Rfam family "Bacterial small subunit ribosomal RNA", at positions 26 to 518 of the family's 1533-position model. The record is from RNAcentral.